Molecule: non-coding RNA, 83 nt
Organism: Acanthosepion pharaonis
Lineage: Eukaryota; Metazoa; Mollusca; Cephalopoda; Sepiida; Sepiidae
Source: the annotation of a GenBank genome assembly
CGUCAAUAUCACCAAAUUUAAGCAACAUUGAGCCUAGUCAGUACCUAGAUGGGUGACCACCUGGGAAGACCAGGUGUUGUAAG